Brienomyrus brachyistius is the source of this 1262-nucleotide long non-coding RNA. RefSeq lists it as uncharacterized. The record is from RefSeq and is a predicted model, not a curated record. The transcript is spliced from 3 exons. Lineage: Eukaryota; Metazoa; Chordata; Actinopteri; Osteoglossiformes; Mormyridae.
GUCGUUGCAAAGUGCUCGUCUCGGCUCCUCUUCUAUAUCACCGUUGCAACGUAUUCGAAAUAGCGCACAGAUCAAGUACUCAUCCUUAAGUUCCUAAUAAACUCCUGAAGAUGCCUUCCACACAGGACAUGACCAAGUAAGAUAACAGAAAGAAAGUGGUCAAAAAUAAUGAUCAUUACAAUUCUUAUUAUAAAUUAAAAUAGUAAUAAAAAAAUGAAUGUCUUCAGAUCAUUCUUAAAAUAGACCGAGCAGGCCCCUGUCAUUUACAAGAGCUUUCAUACAAUCAAAUGAAAAUGGCAAUUUGUGAAGACCUUCAAAAGAUUUUAUUUUGAUAUACAACAGAUUUUCAGAUCCCUGUAUGUGAGAUUCUAUUCAUUAAAGGAAGAAAAAAAGAUAACGUGCGCUCGGCAUAUAAGACUUGACAGCUGCACAGGGCUGCCUCAUUCUACUUUUCAACAUUGUAAUUUCAGAUAAUUUCCCCCGCGUUCACUCUUCUUGCAAUUUGUAAAUGAAUAACAGAAUAAUUUUGUCUUUUGUUUCGUCUUUGCUACCUCAAAUCCAAAUAAAGAUGCCUUUUAGUAUUAAAAGUGGUAGAAAAUUACAGGUAAUUAUCUUUGACGGUAAAAACGCUGUAAUCAGUGGGCCACAUCAAAAAUUACUCUAAUUACGCCUGCAUUUAUGAGAAUGGGGGAGAAAAAAAGCUUCUCGUGGAUAAAAACCAUAAAUUGUCCCAAAUAUCUCGUCUAUAUUGAACGGGACUGCAGCUGGAUGCUUUGUUCAGAAUCGAUCCCGUGGCGUUUGGCAUCAAGGGUUUUAUAGUGAAUGCGGGAGAAAGAGGGAGAGAAAUUUUGUCAAUACUCCAAUAAUUGAACUAGAAAAUGGCAAGAUUGACUGGACGAAAGGCAACCGAUUUCAACGGGGAAAAUAUUAACAGACAGAUUAUGGGCAGCGCCUUCCGAUUGGUCAUUCAACCCAACGUCAUCAGUACUGUGCUUCUCAGAGACUUCACGGUGAGUUAACCCACCUUACCAGCUCCCACCGUAGCCGUAACCACACUUCAGGGGAAUUUAAUGGCAGGAGAUCUGUCUUAUAUCCACUAUAGAGACAAUCUUCGAUGUGCAGCAUCACUCCGCAUUACAUAGGUGUAUUUUACGUUUCCACGAUAAAUUUCACGGCAUUUUUAAGUCCAGAUGAAACUUAAAUUCUAAAAGUGAUUAAUUUAAACAUGUAUGUCUAGCAUAUCUAGUACGUGUAGUGUAUUU